RNAcentral lists this transfer-messenger RNA (367 nucleotides) under Escherichia coli. It matches the Rfam family "transfer-messenger RNA". Rfam says of the family: Bacterial tmRNA, also known as 10Sa RNA or SsrA, is named for its dual tRNA and mRNA-like properties. Lineage: Bacteria; Pseudomonadati; Pseudomonadota; Gammaproteobacteria; Enterobacterales; Enterobacteriaceae. The record is from RNAcentral.
GGGGCUGAUUCUGGAUUCGACGGGAUUUGCGAAACCCAAGGUGCAUGCCGAGGGGCGGUUGGCCUCGUAAAAAGCCGCAAAAAAUAGUCGCAAACGACGAAAACUACGCUUUAGCAGCUUAAUAACCUGCUUAGAGCCCUCUCUCCCUAGCCUCCGCUCUUAGGACGGGGAUCAAGAGAGGUCAAACCCAAAAGAGAUCGCGUGGAAGCCCUGCCUGGGGUUGAAGCGUUAAAACUUAAUCAGGCUAGUUUGUUAGUGGCGUGUCCGUCCGCAGCUGGCAAGCGAAUGUAAAGACUGACUAAGCAUGUAGUACCGAGGNAGGAUGUAGGAAUUUCGGACGCGGGUUCAACUCCCGCCAGCUCCACCA